CAACCUGAAGAGCACUGUGCUGGAGCUCUUAGGCCUAAAUAUCAUUCCUAUCAUCAACACGAAUGACACUGUCGUUCCACCUGACAUUAAUAAAGACUUGUCUAGAGUUGCACGUGAACUAAGCCUGAAACCCGGAGAAAGGGUUAUCACUGUCAAAGACAAUGACAGUCUCGCUGCUCACUUGGCAGUGGAAUCGAGUGCUGAUGUUCUGAUCCUCAUGUCAAAUGUUGAUGGCAUCUUUAAUCUGCCUCCAGGCGAAGAUGGAGCUCGCCUACUCCACACUUACUGCCCUAAAGCUAUAGGUGACAUAGUAUAUGGCGAAAAGUCUGGAGUAGGCUUAGGCGGGAUGGAAUCAAAGGCAAGCCUAGAAUAUUUGUAUAGAGAGAGAUGUG
RNAcentral lists this long non-coding RNA (392 nucleotides) under Limulus polyphemus (Atlantic horseshoe crab). RNAcentral describes it as "uncharacterized LOC111088369, transcript variant X2". The record is from RNAcentral. Lineage: Eukaryota; Metazoa; Arthropoda; Merostomata; Xiphosura; Limulidae.